Molecule: non-coding RNA, 231 nt
Filed under: Fragilariopsis kerguelensis
Lineage: Eukaryota; Bacillariophyta; Bacillariophyceae; Bacillariales; Bacillariaceae
Source: RNAcentral
UCUCCCUGUUUCCACUCCUCUCAUAUGUUUUGUUUUAUCAUUCUGCUUCUCACUUGUUUCGUCACAUCUACUUACAGAUUCAAGAUGCACACAGACACGAGAUCUAUCAGCAAGAGAAAUGGAGGAGACGAUCUAUUGUAUUAUAUCUUACCUAUUAUAUUACACAUAAACAAACAGAAAGAAGAGAGACGAUCUGUUAUUGUACCUAUUCAACCUAUAGUACACGUGUAG